CCUACGGGAGGCUGCAGUGAGGAAUAUUGGUCAAUGGGCGCGAGCCUGAACCAGCCAAGUAGCGUGAAGGAUGACUGCCCUACGGGUUGUAAACUUCUUUUAUAAGGGAAUAAAGUCAGGCACGUGUCCCUGUUUGUAUGUACUUUAUGAAUAAGGAUCGGCUAACUCCGUGCCAGCAGCCGCGGUAAUACGGAGGAGGCGAGCGUUAUCCGGAUUUAUUGGGUUUAAAGGGAACGUAGGUGGUUUGUUAAGUCAGUUGUGAAAGUUUGGGGCUCAACCGUAAAAUUGCAAUUGAUACUGGCAGCCUUGAGUACAGGUGAGGUAGGCGGAAUUCGUGGUGUAGCGGUGAAAUGCUUAGAUAUCACGAAGAACUCCGAUUGCGAAGGCAGCUUACUA
This 396-nucleotide ribosomal RNA is filed under the name uncultured bacterium. Its description in RNAcentral is "partial 16S ribosomal RNA". It matches the Rfam family "Bacterial small subunit ribosomal RNA", at positions 338 to 731 of the family's 1533-position model. The record is from RNAcentral.